UACGAGGGGGGCAAGCGUUGUUCGGAAUUAUUGGGCGUAAAGGGUGCGUAGGCGGUUUGAUAAGUCUUGUGUGAAAUCUAUGGGCUCAACCCAUAGUCUGCACAGGAAACUGUCGGGCUUGAGAGUGGGAGAGGUGAGUGGAAUUUCCGGUGUAGCGGUGAAAUGCGUAGAUAUCGGAAGGAACACCUGUGGCGAAAGCGGCUCACUGGACCAUUUCUGACGCUGAUGCACGAAAGCUAGGGGAG
RNAcentral lists this ribosomal RNA (245 nucleotides) under uncultured bacterium. RNAcentral's name for it is "partial 16S ribosomal RNA". It matches the Rfam family "Bacterial small subunit ribosomal RNA", at positions 524 to 768 of the family's 1533-position model. The record is from RNAcentral.